CUGCCACUCUGUCCAAAACAAGAGGUUUACAUAUAGUCAAAAACAUCUCUGAAGGUAUAGAAUCAUAGGAAAUCCCAUGUUUGAAGGAUCCCACAAGGAUCAUCUUACUGUAGAAACAGGCAUCACUGUGUCUCCUUCCUGGAAGUGUUUACCAAAUGCUUGGAUGUGCAGACCCAUACACAGUCCCUAGAAAAUCCAGAGCAACU
Cygnus atratus (black swan) is the source of this 206-nucleotide long non-coding RNA. RefSeq lists it as uncharacterized. The record is from RefSeq and is a predicted model, not a curated record. NCBI's taxonomy places the organism in Eukaryota, Metazoa, Chordata, Aves, Anseriformes, Anatidae. The transcript has 3 exons.